UCAAUGAAUUUUCACAGCCACUUUCUACCACCGCUACUUCCUCAAAAUUCGUUGCCCCCCAAUAGGUUACAUAUUCAAAAAUAUCGGAAAAUCGAGUGGGGCAGAUAUCAGAUUUUUUUAAAGAGGACGCUUUAGCGUACAAAAUUAAAAUUUAAUUAAUUAAUUAUGUUGCUUGUUUAUAUAAUUAAUAUUUUUAUGGUAAAAUUUAAAAAUUCUUACACUUGUGCAUGGAUCUCAGGCCGUACAUAUCGUCGUGGCGGGCCGCAGUUUGCCCAUCAUUGGUUUAAUACAUUUUGCUCUGGAAUAAUACCAUAUGAUCUGAUACACUACAUUAAAAAUUUAUUUUUCAAUAUAAAUAAACAUUUUUAAAAAUUUCUCAAAAACUAUUUCUCUUAGUUUUUCUGUUUGAAAGGCACUGUGCAUUUUUAUAUUGGUUUCAAACUUUUUUCAAAAAAACCUUAUGAGAGUUUAAGAUAUUGAAUACCAUCAUUUUUCUUGUAAAGUUUUUUAUCAUUACAC
Molecule: long non-coding RNA, 519 nt
Filed under: Androctonus crassicauda
Lineage: Eukaryota; Metazoa; Arthropoda; Arachnida; Scorpiones; Buthidae
Source: RNAcentral